CGCUCAGAACAGAACAGGAAGUUAGGAAAUUAAAACAGGAAGUUAGGAAAAUUUAAAAUGAAGUUUGGAAUAUUGCAACAGCCGAUAGGAACAUUGCAAAUUCCCUCAAGGGAUUUGCAAAGAGUUUUUCAAAUUUGCAAAGCUAAUGAGGAAAAUUCCAAAUGAGUUACGAAGUCGAAAGAGGAACGCUUCACGUAGUUUACCUG
Paramuricea clavata is the source of this 206-nucleotide non-coding RNA. Lineage: Eukaryota; Metazoa; Cnidaria; Anthozoa; Malacalcyonacea; Plexauridae. The record is from the annotation of a GenBank genome assembly.